RNAcentral lists this ribosomal RNA (469 nucleotides) under uncultured Alphaproteobacteria bacterium. Its description in RNAcentral is "bacterial SSU rRNA". It matches the Rfam family "Bacterial small subunit ribosomal RNA", at positions 9 to 524 of the family's 1533-position model. The record is from RNAcentral. Lineage: Bacteria; Pseudomonadati; Pseudomonadota; Alphaproteobacteria.
GAGUUUGAUCUUGGCUCAGGAUGAACGCUGGCGGCAGGCUUAACACAUGCAAGUCGAGCGCCGUAGCAAUACGGAGCGGCAGACGGGUGAGUAACACGUGGGAACGUACCUUUUGGUUCGGAACAACACAGGGAAACUUGUGCUAAUACCGGAUAAGCCCUUACGGGGAAAGAUUUAUCGCCGAAAGAUCGGCCCGCGUCUGAUUAGCUAGUUGGUGAGGUAACGGCUCACCAAGGCGACGAUCAGUAGCUGGUCUGAGAGGAUGAUCAGCCACACUGGGACUGAGACACGGCCCAGACUCCUACGGGAGGCAGCAGUGGGGAAUAUUGGACAAUGGGCGCAAGCCUGAUCCAGCCAUGCCGCGUGAGUGAUGAAGGCCCUAGGGUUGUAAAGCUCUUUUGUGCGGGAAGAUAAUGACUGUACCGCAAGAAUAAGCCCCGGCUAACUUCGUGCCAGCAGCCGCCGUAAG